CGCGGGGUGGAGCAGUUCGGUAGCUCGUCGGGACCAUAACCCGAAGGUCGCAGGUUCAAAUCCUGCCCCCGCAACCA
This 77-nucleotide transfer RNA is filed under the name Bacillus subtilis. RNAcentral describes it as "tRNA-Met". It matches the Rfam family "tRNA". Rfam says of the family: Transfer RNA (tRNA) molecules are approximately 80 nucleotides in length. Their secondary structure includes four short double-helical elements and three loops (D, anti-codon, and T loops). Further hydrogen bonds mediate the characteristic L-shaped molecular structure. tRNAs have two regions of fundamental functional importance: the anti-codon, which is responsible for specific mRNA codon recognition, and the 3' end, to which the tRNAs corresponding amino acid is attached (by aminoacyl-tRNA synthetases). tRNAs cope with the degeneracy of the genetic code in two manners: having more than one tRNA (with a specific anti-codon) for a particular amino acid; and 'wobble' base-pairing, i.e. permitting non-standard base-pairing at the 3rd anti-codon position. Lineage: Bacteria; Bacillati; Bacillota; Bacilli; Caryophanales; Bacillaceae. The record is from RNAcentral.